AGUCGAGGGGCAGCGGGGAAAAGCUUGCUUUUCCGCCGGCGACCGGCGCACGGGUGCGCACCGCGUAUGGAACCUACCUUUUACAGGGGAAUAGCCCAGGGAAACUUGGAUUAAUGCCCCGUGGCACCAUUUUCUGGCAUCAGGAUAUGGUUAAAGCCUUCGGGCGGUAGAAGAUGGCCAUGCGUCCCAUUAGCUUGAUGGUAAGGUAACGGCUUACCAUGGCUACGAUGGGUAGGGGCCCUGAGAGGGGGAUCCCCCACACUGGUACUGAGACACGGACCAGACUCCUACGGGAGGCAGCAGUGAGGAAUAUUGGACAAUGGAGGGGACUCUGAUCCAGCCAUGCCGCGUGCAGGAAGAAUGCCCUAUGGGUAGUAAACUGCUUUUAUACGGGAAGAAAAAGGGCUACGUGUAGCCUGUUGACGGUACCGUAAGAAUAAGGACCGGCUAACUCCGUGCCAGCAGCCGCGGUAAUACGGAGGGUCCGAGCGUUAUCCGGAAUUAUUGGGUUUAAAGGGUCCGUAGGCGGGCCGGUAAGUCAGUGGUGAAAGUCUGUAGCUCAACUAUAGAAUUGCCUUUGAUACUGCUGGUCUUGAGUUAUGGUGAAGUUGCCGGAAUAUGUGGUGUAGCGGUGAAAUGCAUAGAUAUCACAUAGAACACCGAUUGCGAAGGCAGGUGACUAACCAUAUACUGACGCUGAUGGACGAAAGCGUGGGGGAGCGAACAGGAUUA
This 732-nucleotide ribosomal RNA is filed under the name uncultured bacterium. RNAcentral describes it as "bacterial SSU rRNA". It matches the Rfam family "Bacterial small subunit ribosomal RNA", at positions 60 to 780 of the family's 1533-position model. The record is from RNAcentral.